This is a long non-coding RNA of Myzus persicae (green peach aphid), 775 nucleotides long. RefSeq lists it as uncharacterized. The record is from RefSeq and is a predicted model, not a curated record. The transcript has 3 exons. Lineage: Eukaryota; Metazoa; Arthropoda; Insecta; Hemiptera; Aphididae.
UAAAAAAAAUUGUUUGUUCCAUAAGACAAAACUUCAGACCCUCUCGCCUUGAAGUAUAGUUAGUCCUUUAUUAUUUAGAAUUAUUGUGUUGGCAACACUGUAAUGGCCGGGUCUGAUGUUGGCAGGAACUCGCCCUGCAGAUGCAAAGACGCUCAGACACAAUGGAGGCUGCAAAGGGAAUCAUCGUAUUUCAGUAGGUUAAUAAACGAUUGUUGAUUGAACAAUUUUAAUUUGUAUCAACUUAAUGAUUUAAUGUCAGUGCUUCUUUUCUAUUAUUCUUAUUAAUAUCCUACUUUUGAAAAGAACAACAUGAUGCAACAAAUAGCGUGCAUUUAUAAACAUAACCUGAGAAUACCUAUCAGUCGAAAUGAUAAAUAGUGACUCUCAAAAUUCAAACUAAACCCACGUUAUUAUAGCUAUGACAGACUAUAAUGACAAAUAUUUUGUCAAUUUAUGGAAUGGAAACAUUCAAUAAGGAUAAUUCCAUUAGGUUAAUCGACAGUCAUUGGUUAAAAUGCAUCUGUCCAAGCGCCACUUCGUUCUACGUAUGAAGAAUUUUGUAUGGCAUUAUGAUGUUUGGCCAAAUCUGAAACUAUAGAGUAACUUCUAUCAUUAUCAAGGCACAAAAAUGUAUUCGAAAGAAAAAUUGAAGUCGCCUUCACCAUCGAAACAAGAAAUGACUACAACCUAUGUUAUUGACAUCAACAGUGAUAUUGGAUCCUAUUUAUUAAUAUUUUAAAAUGGUAAUAGCUUCACUUCUUAAUAAUUUAUUUGA